GAGAGAGAGAGAGAGAGAGAGAGUACAAGUCAUGGCAGGAAAGUUUUUUCAAAGUCGACAAAAGUGAUCAUGACUUUUGCGCGCACCACAUAUAGCGCUAUCCAUUAAGUUAUAUUAACUGAGGAUGGGCAAGAAUCAAGACGAGUUCGCACGGCAAGUUGUCAGAGUUUGAUCUAUUCCGAGCAGAGAUCGAUGGGUCUGAAUUCCUUCUUCCAUUUCAUAACAUUUUUCAUAUUAAUCGCAGCAGCAAUGUUGGCCAUGCAUCCGUAUCAGAUCUCUGCAGAUAUGAACGGAAGAAAACUUGGCAGGGCCGGACCAAAAAUACCCCUGCCCCUGACACCGGUUGGGAACAAUGGUGAAACCCCACAUCGCUAAAGGGAAGACUUAGUAGCAGUACUAUUCCUUAAUUUGGAGGGGGAUCGGAGUGAUAAUCAAUAUUGUAAUUAAAGGUUCCUUAUACAUACACAAUUAAAACAACAAGAGGGGAAUUCAGUUUCUACAUGCUAUUUAUUUUUCUAGGGAUCAUUGUAAUUGUUGGGUGUUUUUUCUUUACACUGCGUGAUAUAUAUGCUGCCCUUGGAAGGGAUGAUAAUGGAUAUAUAUAGUUUAUUCUAAGUUCAUAAACUUUGAGAAA
Long non-coding RNA from Carya illinoinensis, 634 nucleotides. RefSeq lists it as uncharacterized. Lineage: Eukaryota; Viridiplantae; Streptophyta; Magnoliopsida; Fagales; Juglandaceae. The record is from RefSeq and is a predicted model, not a curated record. The transcript is spliced from 2 exons.